Molecule: ribosomal RNA, 490 nt
Filed under: uncultured bacterium
Lineage: Bacteria
Description: bacterial SSU rRNA
Rfam family: Bacterial small subunit ribosomal RNA
Source: RNAcentral
GAUGAACGCUAGCUACAGGCUUAACACAUGCAAGUCGAGGGGUAACGAGAGGAAAGCUUGCUUUCCUUGUCGACGACCGGCGCACGGGUGAGUAACGCGUAUCCAACCUGCCCCCAACUAGGGAAUAACCUUGCGAAAGUAAGACUAAUACCCUAUAAUUUCCUCAGAUGCCAUCUGACGGGGAAUAAAGAUUUAUCGGUUGUGGAUGGGGAUGCGUCUGAUUAGCUUGUUGGCGGGGUAACGGCCCACCAAGGCAACGAUCAGUAGGGGUUCUGAGAGGAAGGUCCCCCACAUUGGAACUGAGACACGGUCCAAACUCCUACGGGAGGCAGCAGUGAGGAAUAUUGGUCAAUGGGCGGAAGCCUGAACCAGCCAAGUAGCGUGCAGGAUGACGGCCCUAUGGGUUGUAAACUGCUUUUAUACAGGAAUAAAGUUAGCCACGUGUGGUUAUUUGUAGGUACUGUAUGAAUAAGGACCGGCUAAUUCCGUG